AGAGUUUGAUCCUGGCUCAGGACGAACGCUGGCGGCGUGCCUAAUACAUGCAAGUCGAGCGGACAGAUGGGAGCACUCCCUGAUGUUGGCCCAGUUGAGUGAUAUUACGUAGUACCUGUGAACUGAAACUCCGAAACCGGAAUGUGGUUGUUUGAACCGCAUGGUUCAUUAAAACUUCGGCUACACUUGCAGAUGGUUGCAGCUGCUAGUUGGUAAUGGCUCAAGGCAACGUAGCGACCUGAAGAUCACUGGGACGGGGCAGUCCACUGAGAGCAGUAGAAUCGCAAUAGACGAGGUCUGACGAACGCCGCGUGAUGAGGUUUCGGAUCGUAAAGCUCUGUUGGGAAGUGCCGUUCGAAUAGGGCGGUACCUUGACGACUAUGAAAGCCACGGCUAACAUUACGUAGGUGGCAAGCGUUGUCCAAUUAUUAAGUAAAGGGGCUCGCAGGCGGUUUCUUAGUCGUGUGAAAGCGGGCUCAACCGAGGAGGGUCAAACUGGGAACGAGUGCAGAAGAGUGGAGGGAAUUCACGUGUAGCGAAAUGCGUGAGAUGGAGGAACACCAGUGGCGAAGGCGACUCUCUAAUGUAACGACGAGGAGCAGCGUGGUUUAUGGAUAAGUUAAAUUCCUGGUAGUCACGCCGUAACGAUGAGUGCUAAGUGUUAGGGUUUCCGCCUUUAGUGCUGCAGCUAACGCAUUAAGCACUCUUUUUGGAGUACGGUCGCAAGACUGAAAACUCAAAGAAUUGACGGGGCCCGCAAGCGGUGACAAUUUAAUUGAAGCAACGCGAAGAACCCACAGGUCUUGACAUCCUAUACAAUCCUAGAGAUAGGACGUCCCCUCGGGGGCAGAGGACAGGUGGCAUGGUUGUCGUCAGCUCGUGUCGUGAGAUGUUAGGUUAAAUCCCGCAACGAGCGCAACCCUUGAUCUUAGUUGCCAGCAUUCAGUUGGGCACUCUAAGGUGACUACCGACAAACCGAGGAAGGUGUGAUGACGUCAAGUCAUGCCCCUAUGACUGGGCUACACGUGCUACAAUGGAUUGAUAAAGGCGCGAAACGCAAUUAAGCCAAUCCCACAAAUCUGUUCUCAGUUCGGAUCGCAGUCUGCAACUCGACUGCGUGAAGCUGGAAUCGCCAUGUCGGAUCGCAUGCCGCGGUAAACCGGGCCUUGUACACACCGCCCACAAUCACCACGAAAGUUUCACCCGAAAGUCGGUAAGUAACCUUAGGAGCCAGCCGCCGAAGGUGGACAGAGUGAUUGGGGUGAAGUCGUACUGGAAGGUGCCGUAUCGGUUGGUGCGGCUG
Molecule: ribosomal RNA, 1303 nt
Filed under: metagenome
Description: bacterial SSU rRNA
Rfam family: Bacterial small subunit ribosomal RNA
Source: RNAcentral